GGCUCAGUAGGUUGGUCGUGCCACCGGUACGUACUGGUCUCACUGAUUCCUCCUUCCUGAAGAACCGUAAUGCCAUUAAUUUGGUGUUGCGGGGAAACAGGACUGUUACUUUGAAAAAAUUAGAGUGCUUAAAGCAAGCUAACGCUUGAAUACAUUAGCAUGGAAUAAUGAAAUAGGACGAUCGAUCCUAUUUUGUUGGUUUCUAGGAUUGACGUA
RNAcentral lists this ribosomal RNA (216 nucleotides) under Glomeromycotina sp. Its description in RNAcentral is "partial small subunit ribosomal RNA". The stretch from base 40 to 216 matches the Rfam family "Eukaryotic small subunit ribosomal RNA", at positions 686 to 864 of the family's 1831-position model. The record is from RNAcentral. Lineage: Eukaryota; Fungi; Glomeromycota.